GCCGCGGUAAUUCCAGCUCCAAUAGCGUAUAUUAAAGUUGUUGUGGUUAAAAAGCUCGUAGUUGGAUCUCAGUUCGAGUCAGGCGGUCCACUUGCCAGUGGCUACUGCCUGACUGAACACUUUACCGAGUUGUCCUAUGGUGUUCUUCACCGAGCGUCAUAGGCGAUCGGUACGUUUACUUUGAAAAAAUUAGAGUGCUCAAAGCAGGCGUAACGCCCGAAUAAUGUUGCAUGGAAUAAUGGAAUAGGACCUCGGUUCUAUUUUGUUGGUCUUCGGAAUCAGAGGUAAUGAUCAAUAGGGACAGACGGGGACAUUCGUAUUGCGGCGCUAGAGGUGAAAUUCUUGGACCGUCGCAAGACGAACUAAAGCGAAAGCAUUUGUCAAGAAUGUUUUCAUUAAUCAAGAACGAAAGUUAGAGGUUCGAAGGCGAUCAGAUACCGCCCUAGUUCUAACCAUAAACGAUGCCAACCAGUAAUUCGUCUGAGUUCCUUAAAUGACUCGACGAGGGACUUCCGGGAAACCAAAGUCUUUCGGUUCCAGGGGAAGUAUGGUUGCAAAGCUGAAACUUAAAGAAAUUGACGGAAGGGCACCACCAGGAGUGGAGCCUGCGGCUUAAUUUGACACAACACGGGAAAACUCACCCGGCCCGGACACUGGAAGGAUUGACAGAUUGAGAGCUCUUUCUUGAUUCAGUGGGUGGUGGUGCAUGGCCGUUCUUAGUUGGUGGAGUGAUUUGUCUGGUUAAUUCCGAUAACGAACGAGACUCUAGCCUACUAAAUAGAUCGUCGGCUUACAAACGCCGGCGAGACUUCUUAGAGGGACAGGCGGUGAUUCAACCGCACGAAACAGAGCAAUAACAGGUCUGUGAUGCCCUUAGAUGUCCGGGGCCGCACGCGCGCUACACUGAAGUGAUCAGCGUGCUUUUUCAACCUACUCUGUCAAGAGUGGGGAACCCAAUGAACCUUCUUCGUGAUUGGGAUAGGGGAUUGUAAUUAUUUCCCUUGAACGAGGAAUUCCCAGUAAGCGCGAGUCAUAAGCUCGCGUUGAUUACGUCCCUGCCCUUUGUACACACCGCCCGUCGCUACUACCGAUUGAAUGUUUUAGUGAGGUCUUCGGACUGGCCGGCGCAGCACUCUCGUAGUGCAGCGCUGUGUUUGGAAAGAUGCCCAAACUUGAACAUUUAGAGGAAGUAAAAGU
Molecule: ribosomal RNA, 1197 nt
Filed under: metagenome
Description: SSU rRNA
Rfam family: Eukaryotic small subunit ribosomal RNA
Source: RNAcentral